This 63-nucleotide microRNA precursor is filed under the name Canis lupus familiaris (dog). RNAcentral describes it as "Cfa-Novel-12_pre stem-loop". The record is from RNAcentral. Lineage: Eukaryota; Metazoa; Chordata; Mammalia; Carnivora; Canidae.
AGGAGUCAGUCACUCUCAGGGUUUUGUAGCAUUUGUAGGACCCUGAGAGUGAGUACCUCCUGA